This 72-nucleotide transfer RNA is filed under the name Erinaceus europaeus (western European hedgehog). It matches the Rfam family "tRNA". From Rfam's summary of the family: Transfer RNA (tRNA) molecules are approximately 80 nucleotides in length. Their secondary structure includes four short double-helical elements and three loops (D, anti-codon, and T loops). Further hydrogen bonds mediate the characteristic L-shaped molecular structure. tRNAs have two regions of fundamental functional importance: the anti-codon, which is responsible for specific mRNA codon recognition, and the 3' end, to which the tRNAs corresponding amino acid is attached (by aminoacyl-tRNA synthetases). tRNAs cope with the degeneracy of the genetic code in two manners: having more than one tRNA (with a specific anti-codon) for a particular amino acid; and 'wobble' base-pairing, i.e. permitting non-standard base-pairing at the 3rd anti-codon position. Lineage: Eukaryota; Metazoa; Chordata; Mammalia; Eulipotyphla; Erinaceidae. The record is from Rfam by way of RNAcentral.
GGGGAGAUAGCAUUGGGGUUCUGCAGAAGACUUUCAUGCUUGAGGUUCCAGGUUCAAUCCCUGGUGCCCCCA